RNAcentral lists this small RNA (291 nucleotides) under Pan troglodytes (chimpanzee). RNAcentral's name for it is "processed transcript". The record is from RNAcentral. Lineage: Eukaryota; Metazoa; Chordata; Mammalia; Primates; Hominidae.
CCUGAGCCUGCUGCUGUCUCCUGAGCCCACUGUGAGAUCCAGAUAGAUACCCACUGAGGAGGAAGCAGGAUGGAGACAUGGGAUCAGGCAUUGCUUUCUUGUAAAUAUGUGCAUUUCCUGUUACUUUACAUGAAAGCAUGAGAUGUCAAUCUCUGGACCUGCCUUCUGGACGCCAUUUAUCUAAAAUUCACUGUUUGUUUUUUUUUGAAAGGUAAAGCACUAGUUUACCUUAGCUACAACUUUCAUGGUAUAUAAACCUUGCAGAAACUUCAUUAAAACUAACUGAAGGAA